UUAUAUAUUGGUGUAAAGUGCAUAAAAAGGUUUGAUCUUUUAGGGGGUGGUGAAGAUUCCAUCAUAUAUAAA
This 72-nucleotide transfer RNA is filed under the name Trapezia lutea. Its description in RNAcentral is "tRNA-Gln". Lineage: Eukaryota; Metazoa; Arthropoda; Malacostraca; Decapoda; Trapeziidae. The record is from RNAcentral.